GCGGAGGAAAAGAAACUAACAAGGAUUCCCUCAGUAACGGCGAGUGAACAGGGAACAAGCUCAAAGUUGGAAUCUAUCUGGCUUAGCCAGAUCGAAUUGUAAACUUUAGAGUCGUUGUCCAGACCAGCCGAGUAAAUAAGUUCCUUGGAAUAGGACAUCAUGGAGGGUGAGAAUCCCGUCUUUGGCUUGAGCAUUGGUCUUUUGUGAUGCGACUUCAACGAGUCAGGUUGUUUGGGAAUGCAGCCUUAAUUGGGUGGUAAAUCUCACCUAAAGCUAAAUAUUGGCGAGAGACCGAUAGCGAACAAGUACCGUGAGGGAAAGAUGAAAAGAACUUUGAAAAGAGAGUUAAACAGUAUGUGAAAUUGCUAAAAGGGAACCGUUUGAAGUCAGUCUGGCUGGUCUGCAAUCAGCUUCAACUUUGGUUGGAGUGCACUUGUAGGCCAUUUUGCCUGCCAACAACAGUUUGUUCUGCAGCAAAAAGGUGUUGAGAAUGUAGCUUUCUCUUUGGAGAAAGUGUUAUAGCUCUUCGCGAAAUACUGUGGUUCAGACUGAGGCUUGCAGUGAAUGCUAUUUUGGCUUUGGGGAUGGAUUGCUCAGUGCUUUGCUUGGUUAGUUUUCGGCCGUCAAACGUCGUGCUGGCUAAAUAAAGUCUGACUCGGUUCAUUCACUUUUAAUUCACUUUGGUUGUUGGCUUAAUGACUUUAAACGAC
Molecule: ribosomal RNA, 710 nt
Filed under: Apophysomyces elegans
Lineage: Eukaryota; Fungi; Mucoromycota; Mucoromycetes; Mucorales; Mucoraceae
Description: eukaryotic LSU rRNA
Rfam family: Eukaryotic large subunit ribosomal RNA
Source: RNAcentral